GAAAAAUUCAAAAUAAAAUAGUAAUCAACCAACACAUAUGUCUUGGGGCAAAUGGCCACUUAAUACUAUAAAAUCUCUCAAACUGUAAUAUCGUUCAUCUCUGAAGGUCGAGUUAGAGAAAGUUCGUUGACAUCAAGGAAAAGAUGAAAUAGGCUUGUCAAGUUUCCAACAGAAGUUGGAAUAGUAACAGUAAGAUUGUUAUCUGAUAAACCAAGGUGAGAAAGAGAUCUCAACAUUCCA
Molecule: unclassified non-coding RNA, 240 nt
Filed under: Hevea brasiliensis (rubber tree)
Lineage: Eukaryota; Viridiplantae; Streptophyta; Magnoliopsida; Malpighiales; Euphorbiaceae
Source: RNAcentral